This 310-nucleotide unclassified non-coding RNA is filed under the name fungal sp. Its description in RNAcentral is "partial internal transcribed spacer region". The stretch from base 1 to 46 matches the Rfam family "Eukaryotic small subunit ribosomal RNA", at positions 1786 to 1831 of the family's 1831-position model. Lineage: Eukaryota; Fungi. The record is from RNAcentral.
AAGUCGUAACAAGGUUUCCGUAGGUGAACCUGCGGAAGGAUCAUUAACACGUUUUUCGAAACGUUUGUUUCCUUCUUCACACUCUGUGCACCUACUGCCAGUAUUUCGCUUGUGCUUCGGCUCAGUGAGUGCUGGUGGUUGCUACACUUUGUUCCCCCUUAAGACUGUUGCUGAUUUCAUGAUCAGUGACUGUCUUUCAGUUGGCACCCUUUCUGUCCUUAGCUGCUGCCUUGAAUAAAGGUGGUGUGCUGCGGCUGAAAACAUUUAUCUAAUAAGAGUACAACUCUUAGCAAUGGAUAUCUAGGUUCUC